AGUGAACGCUGGCGGUAGGCCUAACACAUGCAAGUCGAACGGCAGCACAGUAAGAGCUUGCUCUUACGGGUGGCGAGUGGCGGACGGGUGAGGAAUACAUCGGAAUCUACUUUUUCGUGGGGGAUAACGUAGGGAAACUUACGCUAAUACCGCAUACGACCUACGGGUGAAAGCAGGGGAUCUUCGGACCUUGCGCGAUUGAAUGAGCCGAUGUCGGAUUAGCUAGUUGGCGGGGUAAAGGCCCACCAAGGCGACGAUCCGUAGCUGGUCUGAGAGGAUGAUCAGCCACACUGGAACUGAGACACGGUCCAGACUCCUACGGGAGGCAGCAGUGGGGAAUAUUGGACAAUGGGCGCAAGCCUGAUCCAGCCAUACCGCGUGGGCGAAGAAGGCCUUCGGGUUGUAAAGCCCUUUGUUGGGAAAGAAAAGCAGCAGGUUAAUACCCCGCUGUUCUGACGGUACCCAAAGAAUAAGCACCGGCUAACUUCGUG
Molecule: ribosomal RNA, 491 nt
Filed under: uncultured bacterium
Lineage: Bacteria
Description: partial 16S ribosomal RNA
Rfam family: Bacterial small subunit ribosomal RNA
Source: RNAcentral